GGUUAAGCGACUAAGCGUACACGGUGGAUGCCCUGGCAGUCAGAGGCGAUGAAGGACGUGCUAAUCUGCGAAAAGCGCCGGCGAGGUGAUAUGAACCCUUGACCCGGCGAUGUCCGAAUGGGGAAACCCAGUGCAAUCCGUUGCACUAUCGUUAACUGAAUACAUAGGUUAACGAGGCGAACCGGGGGAACUGAAACAUCUAAGUACCCCGAGGAAAAGAAAUCAACCGAGAUUCCCCCAGUAGCGGCGAGCGAACGGGGAGCAGCCCGGAGUCUGAAUCAGCUUGUGUGUUAGUGGAACGGUCUGGAAAGUCCGACGGUACAGGGUGAUAGUCCCGUACACGAAAAUGCACAUGCUGUGAACUCGAAGAGUAGGGCGGGACACGUGGUAUCCUGUCUGAAUAUGGGGGGACCAUCCUCCAAGGCUAAAUACUCCUGACUGACCGAUAGUGAACCAGUACCGUGAGGGAAAGGCGAAAAGAACCCCGGCGAGGGGAGUGAAAAAGAACCUGAAACCGUGUACGUACAAGCAGUGGGAGCCUCUUUAUGGGGUGACUGCGUACCUUUUGUAUAAUGGGUCAGCGACUUAUAUUCUGUAGCAAGGUUAACCGUAUAGGGGAGCCGAAGGGAAACCGAGUCUUAACUGGGCGUUAAGUUGCAGGGUAUAGACCCGAAACCCGGUGAUCUAGCCAUGGGCAGGUUGAAGGUUGGGUAACACUAACUGGAGGACCGAACCGACUAAUGUUGAAAAAUUAGCGGAUGACCUGUGGCUGGGGGUGAAAGGCCAAUCAAACCGGGAGAUAGCUGGUUCUCCCCGAAAGCUAUUUAGGUAGCGCCUCGUGAACUCAUCUUCGGGGGUAGAGCACUGUUUCGGCUAGGGGGCCAUCCCGGCUUACCAACCCGAUGCAAACUACGAAUACCGAAGAAUGUUAUCACGGGAGACACACGGCGGGUGCUAACGUCCGUCGUGAAGAGGGAAACAACCCAGACCGCCAGCUAAGGUCCCAAAGUCAUGGUUAAGUGGGAAACGAUGUGGGAAGGCACAGACAGCCAGGAUGUUGGCUUAGAAGCAGCCAUCAUUUAAAGAAAGCGUAAUAGCUCACUGGUCGAGUCGGCCUGCGCGGAAGAUGUAACGGGGCUAAACCAUGCACCGAAGCUGCGGCAGCGACACUUAUGUGUUGUUGGGUAGGGGAGCGUUCUGUAAGCCGUUGAAGGUGUGCUGUGAGGCAUGCUGGAGGUAUCAGAAGUGCGAAUGCUGACAUAAGUAACGAUAAAGCGGGUGAAAAGCCCGCUCGCCGGAAGACCAAGGGUUCCUGUCCAACGUUAAUCGGGGCAGGGUGAGUCGACCCCUAAGGCGAGGCCGAAAGGCGUAGUCGAUGGGAAACAGGUUAAUAUUCCUGUACUUGGUGUUACUGCGAAGGGGGGACGGAGAAGGCUAUGUCAGCCGGGCGACGGUUGUCCCGGUUUAAGCAUGUAGGCGGAGGUUCCAGGUAAAUCCGGUACCUUGUUAACGCUGAGGUGUGAUGACGAGGCACUACGGUGCUGAAGUGAUAAAUGCCCUGCUUCCAGGAAAAGCCUCUAAGCAUCAGGUAACACGAAAUCGUACCCCAAACCGACACAGGUGGUCAGGUAGAGAAUACCAAGGCGCUUGAGAGAACUCGGGUGAAGGAACUAGGCAAAAUGGUGCCGUAACUUCGGGAGAAGGCACGCUGAUGUGUAGGUGAAGCCCCUGCGGGUGGAGCUGAAAUCAGUCGAAGAUACCAGCUGGCUGCAACUGUUUAUUAAAAACACAGCACUGUGCAAACACGAAAGUGGACGUAUACGGUGUGACGCCUGCCCGGUGCCGGAAGGUUAAUUGAUGGGGUUAGCGGCAACGCGAAGCUCUUGAUCGAAGCCCCGGUAAACGGCGGCCGUAACUAUAACGGUCCUAAGGUAGCGAAAUUCCUUGUCGGGUAAGUUCCGACCUGCACGAAUGGCGUAAUGAUGGCCAGGCUGUCUCCACCCGAGACUCAGUGAAAUUGAACUCGCUGUGAAGAUGCAGUGUACCCGCGGCAAGACGGAAAGACCCCGUGAACCUUUACUAUAGCUUGACACUGAACACUGGUCCUUGAUGUGUAGGAUAGGUGGGAGGCUUUGAAGCGUGGACGCCAGUCUGCGUGGAGCCAACCUUGAAAUACCACCCUUUAAUGGCUGGUGUUCUAACGUAGACCCGUAAUCCGGGUUGCGGACAGUGUCUGGUGGGUAGUUUGACUGGGGCGGUCUCCUCCCAAAGAGUAACGGAGGAGCACGAAGGUUGGCUAAUCCUGGUCGGACAUCAGGAGGUUAGUGCAAUGGCAUAAGCCAGCUUGACUGCGAGCGUGACGGCGCGAGCAGGUGCGAAAGCAGGUCAUAGUGAUCCGGUGGUUCUGAAUGGAAGGGCCAUCGCUCAACGGAUAAAAGGUACUCCGGGGAUAACAGGCUGAUACCGCCCAAGAGUUCAUAUCGACGGCGGUGUUUGGCACCUCGAUGUCGGCUCAUCACAUCCUGGGGCUGAAGUAGGUCCCAAGGGUAUGGCUGUUCGCCAUUUAAAGUGGUACGCGAGCUGGGUUUAGAACGUCGUGAGACAGUUCGGUCCCUAUCUGCCGUGGGCGCUGGAGAAUUGAGGGGGGCUGCUCCUAGUACGAGAGGACCGGAGUGGACGCAUCACUGGUGUUCGGGUUGUCAUGCCAAUGGCACUGCCCGGUAGCUAAAUGCGGAAGAGAUAAGUGCUGAAAGCAUCUAAGCACGAAACUUGCCCCGAGAUGAGUUCUCCCUGAGACCUUGAGUCUCCUGAAGGAACGUUAAAGACUAUGACGUUGAUAGGUCGGGUGUGUAAGCGCAGCGAUGCGUUGAGCUAACCGAUACUAAUGAACCGUGAGGCUUAACCUU
RNAcentral lists this ribosomal RNA (2906 nucleotides) under Enterobacter hormaechei. RNAcentral's name for it is "23S ribosomal RNA". It matches the Rfam family "Bacterial large subunit ribosomal RNA". The record is from RNAcentral. Lineage: Bacteria; Pseudomonadati; Pseudomonadota; Gammaproteobacteria; Enterobacterales; Enterobacteriaceae.